This 261-nucleotide ribosomal RNA is filed under the name uncultured bacterium. Its description in RNAcentral is "partial 16S ribosomal RNA". It matches the Rfam family "Bacterial small subunit ribosomal RNA", at positions 522 to 776 of the family's 1533-position model. The record is from RNAcentral.
UACAGAGGGUGAGCAAGCGUUGUUCGGAAUUAUUGGGCGUAAGGGCGCGAGUAGGCGGUGCGGUAAGUCUGUAGUGAAAUCUACUGGGCUCAACUCAGAGUCUGCUUAUAAGAAACUGCCGUGCUUGAGUGUGGGAGAGGUAGAGUGGAAUUCCGGUGUAGCGGUAGAAAUGCGUAGAUAGUCGGGAGGAACACCUGUGGCGAAAGCGGCUCACUGGACCACAACUGACGCUGAGGCGCGAAAGCUAGGGGAGCAAACAGG